This 972-nucleotide long non-coding RNA is filed under the name Apteryx rowi (Okarito brown kiwi). RNAcentral describes it as "lncRNA (ENSARWG00000013720.1)". Lineage: Eukaryota; Metazoa; Chordata; Aves; Apterygiformes; Apterygidae. The record is from RNAcentral.
GUUGGAACUGUAACUUGAAUUGUGUCUACUUUGUAAUGUGCAUGAGGAUAAAUGUGACUAUUUGGCUUCAACUGGUUUGGUGAAAAAGCAAGGGCAAGAGAGUGUCGUCUUAUGUUGAAGCAGAGAUGACUACAGCACAACACUUGUCAACUGUCUAUGCCUCUGAAUCAUGUGGGCUAAUGCUAUGCUGUAGAGAGCGCCGUUGUCUUUUUAUACAAAACAGAUUGGAGAUGAAGCUCAUGUUCUGGUGCAUACUUAAGUUCCAGUUCUUUGUCUGGAGCAUCCUGGGCUGUUGUAAGAACAGCCUACUAAGCAUGUAGUCCUGCUUAUCAGUGUGAGUGUUUAAAAAAAAAAAAAAAAAAAAAAAAAUCUCUGAGUCAUUGACAGACCUGGAAUAUUUAGGCAUGGCCAUGGAUAUUUUUUCUCUGAUGUCAUCUGUUUGAUUCUGCUAAUGAGAAACAAUUCUCAAGCUAUCUCUCAGUGCAGCUGGACACUUUUUUUCUCUCCUGGAUUGUACAGUGAUUCUGCUUGCUUUGUUCCAAAGGUUGGCCAAGGUUUUGAUGACAGCAUCUAACCAGGUGACUGCAUACAACUCGUGGGCAUAUAACCAAGCAUUCUUCUCAUUGCUUGUAUCAGAUGAUCAAAACUGAAGGAACCUCAAACCGUCUUGGACUGAACACUGAAAAACCAUGUGACAAACCCCAAACUGUCAUAGAUGAGAAUGUUGCAUGCUGCAGUCAUGUACCAUCUAUUGCUGCUUCUUGGGCACACAAGCAUGUUCCUGAAGAUCCCCGUGUCGAUAUCCCAGAGGGAACAUUCAUGUCCAGCUCUCACUUUAGAAACCACAGGCACAGCAGUCUUGAAGUUAUGAGGAAUUACCCUGAUUGAAUGGCAUGAAAAGGAAUGGCAGUAAAGGUAAAUUGUGAACUUGUAUUUUAUUUCUUGAUCCCUAGCACACAGAAAAUGUACUGU